This 853-nucleotide long non-coding RNA is filed under the name Homo sapiens (human). RNAcentral's name for it is "HSALNT0352916". The record is from RNAcentral. Lineage: Eukaryota; Metazoa; Chordata; Mammalia; Primates; Hominidae.
UCAAGCUAUCCACUUGCCUCAGCCUCCCAAAUUGCUGAGAUUAGAAGAAUGAGCCACUGUGCCUGUGACUUACUUCUAACCCACAGAAUAGAGCAACAGUGAGAGGAUGUCAAUUCUGUGAUAGAUUGCAAAAUAUUGUAAGUUCCUAGCAGUCUUUCUCAUUGGUUUCAAUAAAAAAAAGCUGCUGUGCUGGAGGGACCCAUGAGGCAAAGAACUGAGAGCAGCCUUUAGCUAACAGCCGGCAAGGAAUGAGGUGCUUGGUCCAGCAAUCACAGAGAAACUGAAUCCUGCUGAUGAUCAUGAGGGUGAGCUUGGAAGCAGAUUCUGUCCCAGAUGAACUUUGAUUGUGUCUUGUUAGAAACCCUGGACCAACUCCUUGAUUGCACCUGUGAGAGGCCCUGAAGCGGAGGGCCCAGCUAAGGUGUGUCUGGAUUUCUGACCCACAGAAACUGAGAUCAUAAAUGUGUGGUUUUAAGCCCUACUCCAGCACUUUCACAGUCAUUUACGGCAUCUGCAGAGCAGUGAAAAAUUUGAAUUGCCUGAGAUACAUGCUCCCUGCUGAAGUCGCACAAGCUGGCCAAUCCUGCUAAUCCUUUAAAACUCACCUGGAGGGAAGGCCUCCUUCUGCAAAGCCUCUCUUGAUGCAGAUUAUCAGCUUUCACUCUCUACCAGAUGGCAAGGAUAUUGCUGUUGGCUCAUAGGAUGUGAACAGUGGUGUUGAGAUUACCCUCAUUUGGCUGAUGAUGUCAUUGAGGCCCAGAGAAGAUUCAUGCUGAGCUCGACUACCUCCGUGAGAAAUGACUCUCCUGUAGGGCUCGAUGACCUUCAUGUCAAUGCGCUGCUCUUGUUCUCC